ACUCCUACGGGAGGCAGCAGUGAGGAAUAUUGGACAAUGGUCGUAAGACUGAUCCAGCCAUGCCGCGUGCAGGAUGACGGCCCUAUGGGUUGUAAACUGCUUUUAUACGGGAAGAAACCCGCCUACGUGUAGGCGGCUGACGGUACCGUAAGAAUAAGGACCGGCUAACUCCGUGCCAGCAGCCGCGGUAAUACGGAGGGUCCGAGCGUUAUCCGGAAUCAUUGGGUUUAAAGGGUCCGUAGGCGGGCCUGUAAGUCAGGGGUGAAAGUUUGUGGCUCAACCAUAAAAUUGCCUUUGAUACUGCAGGUCUUGAGUGCAUGGUGGGGUUGCGGAACAUGAUGGUGUAGCGGUGAAAUGCAUAGAUAUCACAUAGAACACCGAUCGCGAAGGCAGGUGACCAACCAUGUAACUGACGCUGAUGGACGAAAGCGUGGGUAGCGCAA
RNAcentral lists this ribosomal RNA (443 nucleotides) under uncultured bacterium. Its description in RNAcentral is "bacterial SSU rRNA". It matches the Rfam family "Bacterial small subunit ribosomal RNA", at positions 335 to 773 of the family's 1533-position model. The record is from RNAcentral.